AGUGAACGCUGGCGGUAGGCCUAACACAUGCAAGUCGAACGGCAGCACAGGAGAGCUUGCUCUCUGGGUGGCGAGUGGCGGACGGGUGAGGAAUACAUCGGAAUCUACUCUGUCGUGGGGGAUAACGUAGGGAAACUUACGCUAAUACCGCAUACGACCUACGGGUGAAAGCAGGGGACCUUCGGGCCUUGCGCGAUUGGAUGAGCCGAUGUCGGAUUAGCUAGUUGGCGGGGUAAAGGCCCACCAAGGCGACGAUCCGUAGCUGGUCUGAGAGGAUGAUCAGCCGCACUGGAACUGAGACACGGUCCAGACUCCUACGGGAGGCAGCAGUGGGGAAUAUUGGACAAUGGGCGCAAGCCUGAUCCAGCCAUACCGCGUGGGUGAAGAAGGCCUUCGGGUUGUAAAGCCCUUUUGUUGGGAAAGAAAUCCAGCUGGCUAAUACCCGGUUGGGAUGACGGUACCCAAAGAAUAAGCACCGGCUAACUUCGUGCCAGCAGCCGCCGUAA
RNAcentral lists this ribosomal RNA (506 nucleotides) under uncultured bacterium. RNAcentral's name for it is "partial 16S ribosomal RNA". It matches the Rfam family "Bacterial small subunit ribosomal RNA", at positions 29 to 523 of the family's 1533-position model. The record is from RNAcentral.